This 314-nucleotide ribosomal RNA is filed under the name uncultured soil bacterium. Its description in RNAcentral is "bacterial SSU rRNA". It matches the Rfam family "Bacterial small subunit ribosomal RNA", at positions 1082 to 1397 of the family's 1533-position model. The record is from RNAcentral.
AAGUCCCGUAACGAGCGCAACCCUCGCCCCUAGUUGCCAUCAUUCAGUUGGGAACUCUAGGGGGACUGCCGGUGAUAAGCCGCGAGGAAGGUGGGGAUGACGUCAAGUCCUCAUGGCCCUUACAGGCUGGGCUACACACGUGCUACAAUGGCGGUGACAAUGGGCAGCGAAAGGGCGACCUCGAGCUAAUCCCAAAAAGCCGUCUCAGUUCAGAUUGUACUCUGCAACUCGAGUACAUGAAGGUGGAAUCGCUAGUAAUCGUGGAUCAGCAUGCCACGGUGAAUACGUUCCCGGGCCUUGUACACACCGCCCGU